Molecule: ribosomal RNA, 163 nt
Filed under: Secale strictum subsp. kuprijanovii
Lineage: Eukaryota; Viridiplantae; Streptophyta; Magnoliopsida; Poales; Poaceae
Description: 5.8S ribosomal RNA
Rfam family: 5.8S ribosomal RNA
About the family: 5.8S ribosomal RNA (5.8S rRNA) is a component of the large subunit of the eukaryotic ribosome. It is transcribed by RNA polymerase I as part of the 45S precursor that also contains 18S and 28S rRNA.
Source: RNAcentral
ACACGACUCUCGGCAACGGAUAUCUCGGCUCUCGCAUCGAUGAAGAACGUAGCGAAAUGCGAUACCUGGUGUGAAUUGCAGGAUCCCGCGAACUAUCGAGUCUUUGAACGCAAGUUGCGCCCGAGGCCACUCGGCCGAGGGCACGCCUGCCUGGGCGUCACGC